RNAcentral lists this non-coding RNA (952 nucleotides) under Bidyanus bidyanus (Bidyan perch). RNAcentral's name for it is "12S ribosomal RNA". It matches the Rfam family "Bacterial small subunit ribosomal RNA". The record is from RNAcentral. Lineage: Eukaryota; Metazoa; Chordata; Actinopteri; Centrarchiformes; Terapontidae.
CAAAGGCUUGGUCCUGACUUUACUAUCAACUCUAGCUAGACUUACACAUGCAAGUAUCCGCACCCCCGUGAGAAUGCCCUGACAGUUCCCCGCUCGGGAACAAGGAGCUGGUAUCAGGCACAUUACCCCCAUAGCCCACGACGCCUUGCUUAGCCACACCCUCAAGGGAAUUCAGCAGUGAUAAACAUUAAGCCAUAAGUGAAAACUUGACUUAGUUAAAGCUAAGAGAGCCGGUAAAACUCGUGCCAGCCACCGCGGUUAUACGAGAGGCUCAAGCUGAUAGACUUCGGCGUAAAGCGUGGUUAAGGAGAACUUACACUAAAGCCGAAUGCCCUCAGAGCUGUUAUACGCUCACGAUGGUUAGAAGCCCAAUUACGAAAGUAGCUUUAAACAACCUGAACCCACGAAAGCUAUGGCACAAACUGGGAUUAGAUACCCCACUAUGCUUAGCCCUAAACAUAAAUAGUACAAUACACCCACUAUUCGCCCGGGGACUACGAGCAUUAGCUUAAAACCCAAAGGACUUGGCGGUGCUUUAGAUCCACCUAGAGGAGCCUGUUCUAGAACCGAUAACCCCCGUUCAACCUCACCCUUCCUUGCUCUUUUCCGCCUAUAUACCGCCGUCGCCAGCUUACCCUAUGAAGGACGCACAGUAAGCAAAAUUGGCACAGCCCAGAACGUCAGGUCGACGUGUAGCGUAUGGAAGGGGAAGAAAUGGGCUACAUUCCCUAACACAGUGAAUACGAAAGAUGCACUGAAACGUGCAACAUGAAGGAGGAUUUAGCAGUAAGCGGGAAAUAGAGUGUCCCGCUGAAACCGGCCCUGAAGCGCGCACACACCGCCCGUCAUUCUCCCCGAGCUUAAACACUCACUUUUAACUAAAACCCUGAAAUUGCUAAGGGGAGGCAAGUCGUAACAUGGUAAGUGUACCGGAAGGUGCACUUGGAACAAA